AACGAACGCUGGCGGCAGGCCUAACACAUGCAAGUCGAGCGAACCCUUCGGGGUUAGCGGCGGACGGGUUAGUAACGCGUGGGAAUAUACCCUUUGGUACGGAAUAGCCUCGGGAAACUGAGAGUAAUACCGUAUGUGCCCUCGGGGAAGGAUUAUCGCCAAGGAUUAGCCCGCGUUGGAUUAGAUAGUUGGUGGGGUAAGUGGCCUACCAAGUCUACGAUCCAUAGCUGGUUUGAGAGGAUGAUCAGCAACACUGGGACUGAGACACGGCCCAGACUCCUACGGGAGGGCAGCAGUGGGGGAAUCUUAGACAAUGGGCGGCAAGCCUGAUCUAGCCAUGCCGCGUGGACGAUGAAGGCCUUAGGGUUGUAAAGUACCUUUCUAGAU
RNAcentral lists this ribosomal RNA (387 nucleotides) under uncultured bacterium. RNAcentral's name for it is "bacterial SSU rRNA". It matches the Rfam family "Bacterial small subunit ribosomal RNA", at positions 29 to 443 of the family's 1533-position model. The record is from RNAcentral.